This 274-nucleotide ribosomal RNA is filed under the name uncultured bacterium. Its description in RNAcentral is "partial 16S ribosomal RNA". It matches the Rfam family "Bacterial small subunit ribosomal RNA", at positions 523 to 796 of the family's 1533-position model. The record is from RNAcentral.
AUACGGAGGGUGCAAGCGUUAAUCGGAAUUACUGGGCGUAAAGCGCGCGUAGGCGGAUUAGUAAGUCGGAUGUGAAAGCCCUGGGCUCAACCUGGGAAUUGCAUUCGAUACUGCUUGACUAGAGUAUGGUAGAGGGAAGUGGAAUUUCCGGUGUAGCGGUGAAAUGCGUAGAUAUCGGAAGGAACACCAGUGGCGAAGGCGACUUCCUGGGCCAAUACUGACGCUGAGGUGCGAAAGCGUGGGGAGCAAACAGGAUUAGAUACCCCGGUAGUCC